UAUCCAAUCCGAGUACUUUGCUACUUAGAUCAUCUAAUCUAAUAUAUACUGGACUGAUCAAUAUCAAAUAUAAAAAUUAAAAUUAUUUAUAUCUAAUCUAAAUAACAUAAAAUCAGAUCUAAAUAUAUAUAAAAUUAUAUCAUAUUGAAUGAGAUUUUGAUACCAUUUGAAAAAAAAUUAGGCAGUUCUAUGCAUACAAUUUUAAAAUUUUACAGCAA
This 218-nucleotide long non-coding RNA is filed under the name Elaeis guineensis (African oil palm). Its description in RNAcentral is "long non-coding RNA (EGUI_LNC067589)". The record is from RNAcentral. Lineage: Eukaryota; Viridiplantae; Streptophyta; Magnoliopsida; Arecales; Arecaceae.